This 205-nucleotide long non-coding RNA is filed under the name Gossypium barbadense (sea-island cotton). RNAcentral describes it as "long non-coding RNA (GBAR_LNC000562)". The record is from RNAcentral. Lineage: Eukaryota; Viridiplantae; Streptophyta; Magnoliopsida; Malvales; Malvaceae.
GGACAUGUCUGCUAAGUUUUAGACUGAAGAACUAGCCAACAAAGGGAACUAAGAGCCAAAAUUUGGCACUUAAAGGUGGCUGCCCAAAAUAUGUUUUGGGAUAAUUAAUUGAAGGUCCUUACAAUUGGAAAAUAAUCAUAAUUCAGCCUAACAACUUCUCUAUUGAAACUGUCCACUCUAUAGUUAUUUUUAGCUUGAAUUUGAA